RNAcentral lists this ribosomal RNA (484 nucleotides) under uncultured bacterium. Its description in RNAcentral is "partial 16S ribosomal RNA". It matches the Rfam family "Bacterial small subunit ribosomal RNA", at positions 29 to 507 of the family's 1533-position model. The record is from RNAcentral.
AGUGAACGCUGGCGGCAGGCCUAACACAUGCAAGUCGAGCGGCAGCGCGGGGGCAACCCUGGCGGCGAGCGGCGGACGGGUGAGGAAUUCGUCGGAAUCUGCCUUUUUGUGGGGGAUAACGUAGGGAAACUUACGCUAAUACCGCAUACGUCCUACGGGCGAAAGUGGGGGACCGCAAGGCCUCACGCAGAAAGAUGAGCCGACGACCGAUUCGCUAGUUGGUGGGGUAAAGGCCCACAAAGGCGACGAUCGGUAGCUGGUCUGAGAGGAUGAUCAGCCACACUGGGACUGAGACACGGCCCAGACUCCUACGGUAGGCAGCAGUGGGGAAUAUUGGACAAUGGGCGCAAGCCUGAUCCAGCCAUGCCGCGUGUGUGAAGAAGGCCUUCGGGUUGUAAAGCACUUUUGUCCGGAAAGAAAUCCCUGGAGCUAAUACGUUCGGGGGAUGACGGUACCGGAAGAAUAAGCACCGGCUAACUUCGUG